RNAcentral lists this long non-coding RNA (218 nucleotides) under Capsicum annuum. RNAcentral's name for it is "long non-coding RNA (CANN_LNC001933)". The record is from RNAcentral. Lineage: Eukaryota; Viridiplantae; Streptophyta; Magnoliopsida; Solanales; Solanaceae.
CCUUCUCCAAUGGCUGAAGAACAAGUAGCCCGCAGGACAGUUAGGGAAGUGGCAGUCCCACUUUCAAUGAACUUGACUUCCCCAAUUCAAAGACCGGCUGUUGGGGGGGAGUUUGAGUUAAAGCAUAACAUGGUGUAGCUUCUCAUCAACAGCGAAUAGUUUGCAGUGCUUUCACACGAGGAUCCAUAAGUCAACUUGCAAACUUUUAUUGAGCUUAC